CAGUGGUAUUUGGUGAUCUAGUUACCCCAGAAUAGGUGACUGUGCGCUGGGUACAGAGCACCACGAGGUGCUGGUGUGGUGCUCCAUCAGGUCAGGGGUAGUUGGUGGUUAGUUACACUUCUCAUAUCCAAC
This is a long non-coding RNA of Etheostoma spectabile (orangethroat darter), 132 nucleotides long. RefSeq lists it as uncharacterized. The transcript has 3 exons. NCBI's taxonomy places the organism in Eukaryota, Metazoa, Chordata, Actinopteri, Perciformes, Percidae. The record is from RefSeq and is a predicted model, not a curated record.